Molecule: ribosomal RNA, 292 nt
Filed under: uncultured bacterium
Lineage: Bacteria
Description: partial 16S ribosomal RNA
Rfam family: Bacterial small subunit ribosomal RNA
Source: RNAcentral
GUGCCAGCCGCCGCGGUAAUACGGAGGGUGCAAGCGUUAAUCGGAAUUACUGGGCGUAAAGCGCGCGUAGGUGGUUUGAUAAGCGAGAUGUGAAAGCCCCGGGCUUAACCUGGGAACGGCAUUUCGAACUGUCAGGCUAGAGUGUGGUAGAGGGUAGUGGAAUUUCCUGUGUAGCGGUGAAAUGCGUAGAUAUAGGAAGGAACACCAGUGGCGAAGGCGGCUACCUGGACCAACACUGACACUGAGGUGCGAAAGCGUGGGGAGCAAACAGGAUUAGAUACCCCAGUAGUCC